CUCCAGAGGAGAGGCCCACAACGCGGGGCGGGGGUCGUAUUCUCGGGACAACGUAGGCGACGCUUUACGGCAGGGGUGAGCGGGGUCGCAGUCGAGUCUCGCUGGCUCCCGCGCGAAACUCUGAGGGGACCGACUCUUUCUCGCCGGAGCGUGGCCUCAGCCACGUUGGUCCCCUCAGCCUCCUUCGUGUCCUUUCCCUGGGGCAACGCGAGGCGACGCGGGCCGGGACCGGCAGCCUUUCUGGUCCCAGGGACCCUCCCCAUCCUCUAACGUCUGAGCAGCCUGUACCCUGCGUGCAAGGUCGCAGUUUGCAGAAAUAAUAAAAGCGCAUCAUCAACAGCUCAUGCAUUGCCUUCAUGUGGGCCCAGAGUACAAGCACAGAUGAAGAGCAGACACUGACUUCACACUUCUGACAGGUCACAGUUUGCUAAAAUAAUAAAAGGGCAUGAUCAAUAGCUCGUACAUUGCCUUGGUGUAGACCCAGAGUGCUAGCACAGAGGAAGAGCAGACACUGACUUCACACUUCUGAUAGGAACCAGUUUGGUAAUAAAAUCAAGGCAUGUGAUCAACAGCUUGUACAUUAUCUUGGUGUGGACCCAGAGAGCAAGCACAGACGAAGAGCAGACACUGACCUCACACUUCUGAUAGGUCUUCCUCAGUAGGAUCCACAGAAAGGGACCGACGCCAUGCUCCAAAAGCUUCCACUUGAUGGCACUCUUGAGCCAGAAAUGUCAACCACUUUCUGGAGCUGGGCCUCUCCCUCCACCCUUUGUGUAUCAAAAAAGGCCCAUGGUGGCCAAAGAACCUUCCAAACCCUCCAAACUAUGUUAGCUCCAGUGGAGUGUUGGGGGAAGAGUUCACAGUUUGGUAAGAAAGUCAGAGGUCAUGAUCAACCGCUCAUACAUUGCCUUGGUGUGGACCCAGAGUGCAAGAACAGAAAAAGAACAGACACUGACUUCACACUUCUGAAAAGUAUGUAAUACAGGCCUCAGUUGUGCUUUGAUUCUGUUUCCCCCUUCCGUACAGUAGGCUCCUCUCUCAAGGCAAGUGUCUCACCAAAUUUCCUCGGGUUAUUCUCUGGUUAGUAGUGUGUUCAGGUAUUUGUUGUUUUUGUUCAGUAGGUCAGUCAUGUCUGCCUCUCUGCAACCCCACCGACUGCAGCAUGCCAGGCUUCCCUGGCCAUCAGCAACUCCUGGAGCUUGCUCAAACUCAUGUCCAUUGAGUUGGUGAUGCCAUCCUAACAUCUUAUCCUCUGUGGUCCCAUCUUCUGCCUGCUUUCAAUCUUUCAGGUAUACUUAGUUACUAUAGUUGUUCAUCGUAGUGAUGAGAAGAGUUCUGCUUGUGCGAUUCACAUAUCAACCUAUUUGUAAGUUCCAACACCCCUGAACUCAGUUUAAAACUCAAGCUCAGAAAGGCCAUUAGUUUACUGGAUCCGAUUUCACACAUCUGAUAGGUAUGCAACAGAACUCCCAUGUGUACUUUGUGUUUUACUCCUUUCCCUUUUACAAAGAUGAGUUUCCUAAGUGUUUUAAACAAAUUUAUACUGGUGCCAUGGAGAUGCGUUAUUAAUGCUAUUAGUAAGCAAAGGCUUUGACUGUGUGGAUCACAAUAAACUGGAAAAUUCUGAAAGAGAUGGGAAUACCAGACCACCUGACCUGCCUCUUGAGAAACCUGUAUGCAGGUCAGGAAGCAACAGUUAGAACUGGACAUGGAACAACAGACUGGUUCCAAAUAGGAAAAGGAGUAUGUCAAGGCUGUAUAUUGUCACCCUGCUUAUUUAACUUAUAUGCAGAGUACAUCAUGAGAAACGCUGGGCUGGAAGAAGCACAAGCUGGAAUCAAGAUUGCCAGGAGAAAUAUCAAUAACCUCAGAUAUGCAGAUGACACCACCCUUAUGGCAGAGAGUGAAGAGGAACUGAAGAGCCUCUUGAUGAAAGUGAAAGAGGAGAGUGAAAAAGUUGGCUUAAAGCUCAACAUUCAGAAAACUAAGAUCAUGGCAUCUGGUCCCAUCACUUCAUGGUAAAUAGAUGGGGAAACAGUGGCUGACUUUAUUUUUCUGGGCUCCAAAAUCCCUGCAGAUGGUGAUUGCAGCCAUGAAAUUAAAAGACGCUUACUCCUUGGAAGGAAAGUUAUGACCAGCCUAAACAGCAUAUUAAAAAGCAAAGACAUUACUUUGUCAACAAAGGUCUGUCUAGUCAAGGCUAUGGUUUUUCCAGUGGUCAUGUCUGGAUGUGAGAGUUGGGCUAUAAAGAAAGCUGAGCGCCGAAGAAUUGAUGCUUUUGAACUGUGGUGUUGGAGAAGACUCUUGAGAGUCCCUUAGACUGCAAGGAGAUCCAACCAGUCCAUCCUAAAGGAGAUCAGUCCUGGGUGUUCAUUGGAAGGACUGAUGUUGAAGCUGAAACUCCAAUACUUUGGCCACCUGAUGCGAAGAGCUGGCUCAUUUGAAAAGACCCUGAUGCUGGGAAAGCUUGAAGGCAGGAGGAGAAGGGGACGACAGAGGAUAAGAUGGUUGGAUAGCAUCACCGACUCAAUGGACGUGGGUUUGGGUGGACUCUGGGAGUGUGUGAUGGACAGGGAGGCCUGGCGUGCUGUGGUUCAUGGGGUCGCAAAAAGUCGGACACAACAGCGACUGAACUGAACUGAACUGAGUGAGCAAAGGCAGGGUUACUUCAGUAACCUGAAACCUUUUAAAUCUAUCAAAAUAACCUGAUAUUUUUACAAACCCUAGAGCUAGGAAGGAUUUUGAGGUGAUCUUGUUUAUCCCCUGGGUUGCUGAAGGAAAAACCUUCUUUCUUUCUAUGCUGGAAUCUCUGAAGAACGAUAUGAAACUUCACAUGUGAAAUGUACUUUGUUAUAUAGCCCCUUCUAGUUAAGAAACUUUGUUUAUACCUUAUUUUUUUAUUUAUACCUUAUUGAAAUCUCUGUUGAGAAGGUUCCAGCAAAAACUCAUUUGUUGUUUCUUUAUAGGAAGAAAACUAGUUCUGUCAAAUGCCUGUUCUAUAUUAUUAUUCUGGUUAUAACAUGGGGUAGGCUCAGUAAUAUGAAAGAGGAAUAGGUUAUAAUUUGUAAUUGUAAUAUUAGGUUAUUGCAAAAAUGCACUUUUGCAUUGUUGAACUUUGCCCUAUAUAUUGGCAUACAUUGUUUAAUAAAUGUGGUUAUAUUAUACAUCAUUUUAAUGUACAUUUCUUGCCUUUUUGUGCUAAUGACUUAUGUUUAUUUAUAUUUAUGUCUUUAUUUUAUAUUUAUUUAUUUUAGACUAGGAAAAUGUUAGACAAAAAGGAGAAUUCAAGCAAUUUUCUUAUUUAGGUUCAAAAUGGACUUCUCAUGUUCAAAUAUGCUCUGAGAAAGAAUAUUUAGCCAAGAAUGCUUUUUAUUUCACAGACUCUAAAGACAAAUAUAGUUAGCAAUGUAUAUCACUUUUAGAAAUAAAUGAUGCAUAUAUACAUAGUUUUUUAAAAUGUCUGAUUCGAGGUGACAUUUGCAAGAAAGGGCAAAUAAGAUGGAAGUGUUAUCUAUACAUAGCUAGACUUAAGCUUUGUUCGGUAUAAGUAUUCUGGCUUGUCUGAACCUCUUUAGAGGAGUGAUUAGGUAAAACUGGGACAGGAUUCACCAGAUCAAUGUCCCUUUUAAAAGAGGAAAAAAAUUCUGGGUUCUAUACCCAGAACCCUAUAAAUUUGACUAGCCAAAGACAGAUUAUGAAGAGAAAAACAAAUAGAAGUUUAUUAACAUAGGUACUGCCCAAGUAAAUAUGGGAGUGUUCAUCAGUAACCCCUAAUCCCACUUCUGGUUAUAUAUCUGAAAGAAAAGAAACCAUUAUCUUGAAGCGAUACCUGCACUUCUAUGUUCAUUGCAGCAUUAUUUACAAUAGCCAAAACACAGAAACAACGUAGGUGUCUAAUGAGGGAAGAAUGGAUAAAGAAAAUGUGAUAUAGGGACUUCCCCAACAGUCCAGUGUUUAGGACUCUGCAUUUUCACUGCCAAGGGCCCAGGUUCAAUCCUUGGUCAGAGAACUAAGAUCCCACAAGUUGUGUGGUGCCCCCCUCCAACAAAAUAGCAAAGAAAAUGUGAUACACACACACACACA
Molecule: long non-coding RNA, 4083 nt
Organism: Dama dama (fallow deer)
Lineage: Eukaryota; Metazoa; Chordata; Mammalia; Artiodactyla; Cervidae
Exons: 6
Source: RefSeq, a predicted model, not a curated record